Molecule: ribosomal RNA, 253 nt
Filed under: uncultured bacterium
Lineage: Bacteria
Description: partial 16S ribosomal RNA
Rfam family: Bacterial small subunit ribosomal RNA
Source: RNAcentral
UCCGUAGGGUGCGAGCGUUAAUCGGAAUUACUGGGCGUAAAGCGUGCGCAGGCGGUCCGCUAAGACAGGUGUGAAAUCCCUGGGCUCAACCUAGGAAUUGCGCUUGUGACUGGCGGGCUAGAGUACGGUAGAGGGGGGUGGAAUUCCUGGUGUAGCAGUGAAAUGCGUAGAGAUCAGGAGGAACACCGAUGGCGAAGGCAGCCCCCUGGGCCUGUACUGACGCUCAGGCACGAAAGCGUGGGGAGCAAACAGG